RNAcentral lists this ribosomal RNA (465 nucleotides) under Vreelandella stevensii. Its description in RNAcentral is "partial 16S ribosomal RNA". It matches the Rfam family "Bacterial small subunit ribosomal RNA", at positions 338 to 795 of the family's 1533-position model. The record is from RNAcentral. Lineage: Bacteria; Pseudomonadati; Pseudomonadota; Gammaproteobacteria; Oceanospirillales; Halomonadaceae.
CCUACGGGUGGCAGCAGUGGGGAAUAUUGGACAAUGGGCGAAAGCCUGAUCCAGCCAUGCCGCGUGUGUGAAGAAGGCCUUCGGGUUGUAAAGCACUUUCAGUGGGGAAGAAAGCCUUGGGGCUAAUACCCUCGAGGAAGGACAUCACCCACAGAAGAAGCACCGGCUAACUCCGUGCCAGCAGCCGCGGUAAUACGGAGGGUGCGAGCGUUAAUCGGAAUUACUGGGCGUAAAGCGCGCGUAGGCGGUCUGAUAAGCCGGUUGUGAAAGCCCCGGGCUCAACCUGGGAACGGCAUCCGGAACUGUCAGGCUAGAGUGCAGGAGAGGAAGGUAGAAUUCCCGGUGUAGCGGUGAAAUGCGUAGAGAUCGGGAGGAAUACCAGUGGCGAAGGCGGCCUUAUGGACUGACACUGACGCUGAGGUGCGAAAGCGUGGGUAGCAAACAGGAUUAGAUACCCGAGUAGUC